GAGGGUGAAGCUCAGUGGUAGAGUGCAUGCCUAGCAUGCACGAGGUCCUGGGUUCAAUCUCCAGUACCUCCA
Molecule: transfer RNA, 72 nt
Organism: Camelus ferus (Wild Bactrian camel)
Lineage: Eukaryota; Metazoa; Chordata; Mammalia; Artiodactyla; Camelidae
Rfam family: tRNA
About the family: Transfer RNA (tRNA) molecules are approximately 80 nucleotides in length. Their secondary structure includes four short double-helical elements and three loops (D, anti-codon, and T loops).
Source: Rfam